This 253-nucleotide ribosomal RNA is filed under the name uncultured bacterium. RNAcentral describes it as "partial 16S ribosomal RNA". It matches the Rfam family "Bacterial small subunit ribosomal RNA", at positions 524 to 776 of the family's 1533-position model. The record is from RNAcentral.
UACGUAGGGGGCAAGCGUUGUCCGGAAUUAUUGGGCGUAAAGAGCGUGUAAGCGGUCCGGUAAGUCAGCUGUGAAAGUCAAGGGCUCAACCCUUGAAAGCCGGUUGAUACUGUCGGGCUAGAGUCCGGGAGAGGCGAGUGGAAUUCCCGGUGUAGCGGUGAAAUGCGCAGAUAUCGGGAGGAACACCUGAGGCGAAGGCGGGCUACUGGGCCGAUACUGACGCUGAUGCGCGAAAGCCAGGGGAGCGAACGGG